This 67-nucleotide transfer RNA is filed under the name Nicrophorus vespilloides. Its description in RNAcentral is "tRNA-Ser". Lineage: Eukaryota; Metazoa; Arthropoda; Insecta; Coleoptera; Silphidae. The record is from RNAcentral. RNAcentral also lists the same sequence under 1 other name.
GAAAUAUGAGAUUCAGAAAUAAGCUUCUAACUUAACUUCUUAGCGAUGUAACUUCGUUAAUAUUUCU